RNAcentral lists this signal recognition particle RNA (88 nucleotides) under marine eukaryotic metagenome. RNAcentral describes it as "Bacterial small signal recognition particle RNA". It matches the Rfam family "Bacterial small signal recognition particle RNA". From Rfam's summary of the family: The signal recognition particle (SRP) is a universally conserved ribonucleoprotein involved in the co-translational targeting of proteins to membranes. Archaeal SRP consists of a 7S RNA and homologues of the eukaryotic SRP19 and SRP54 proteins. In most bacteria, the SRP consists of a 4.5S RNA and the Ffh protein (a homologue of the eukaryotic SRP54 protein). The record is from RNAcentral.
GGCGUCCUCGCGACGGCUAUCCGUGAAUCCCGUCAGGCCUGGAAGGGAGCAGCGGCAGCGGUGUUGCCGGGUGCCGGGGCUUGGCUGG